Molecule: long non-coding RNA, 357 nt
Organism: Nanorana parkeri
Lineage: Eukaryota; Metazoa; Chordata; Amphibia; Anura; Dicroglossidae
Exons: 3
Source: RefSeq, a predicted model, not a curated record
UCUGUGAUUUUGGAUUGGCACGUGUUGCAGACCCAGACCAUGAUCACACUGGUUUCCUGACAGAGUAUGUUGCAACUCGCUGGUACCGGGCACCAGAGAUCAUGUUAAAUUCCAAGGGAUAUACCAAAUCAAUUGAUAUCUGGUCUGUUGGCUGCAUUCUUGCAGAGAUGCUUUCCAAUAGGCCCAUAUUUCCAGGAAAGCAUUAUCUUGAUCAACUUAAUCAUAUCCUUGGCAUUCUUGGAUCUCCUACUCAAGAGGAUUUAAACUGUAUAAUAAAUUUGAAAGCUAGAAACUACUUGCUGUCCCUCCCUCAUAAAAAUAAGGUUCCCUGGAACAGGCUUUUCCCAAAUGCAGAUC